Molecule: long non-coding RNA, 1060 nt
Organism: Salvelinus fontinalis (brook trout)
Lineage: Eukaryota; Metazoa; Chordata; Actinopteri; Salmoniformes; Salmonidae
Exons: 2
Source: RefSeq, a predicted model, not a curated record
UUCUACUAUUAUGUAACGUGGGGGACUUUUAUUUAGACAUUUUUCGAAAUCCAUGACGUGGGAGUACUUUUUUAGUGUUGCUGAUGAGACGCUGGAUCUAACAACCUCUGUAAAAAAACGUUUUUAGUUUAUUUAGCUGACUUUGGUAUUGUUAGCUUGAAUACAUAUAUCAACCUUUUCAGUUACGUUGCAAGCGCUUUAAUAUUACGUAUAUUCUAGGCUUGGUCGCACUAUCUAACGUUAACAUCGAACUCUGUAGCAAGCUUGUUUCGGGUGGCUUUUUGCUUUGCAAACUAGCUAUGGAUAACAUUAUUGAUCCAGCAUCAGAACAAGUGACAAGUCUCCCUCUGUUCUCCUUGCGGCACCUGGUUCCAACUCUACGCCUGAUGUGGCUUUCAUGUGGCAAGUGACACAACGGCGUAAUGUGAUGCAAUAUGGGAAGCUGGAGGAAUUUGUGACUUUUGUGACAGAAAUGGUUCCAGAGCUGCUGAGCUCCAGGCAGAGGACCCAACUCAUUCUGUUAGGAUUUAUGUUUAUGCACUAUAGCCCACUACCAUAUUGUUUGAAGAUGAAUAUUGUUUUGUUACACACACACAAACAAUGCAGAUGUGUGUGUGUGUAUGUGUGUAAAGAUUGAGCAACAUAGAGUGCCUUGAUGCAAAAGCUGUGGUCAAUCUGGAGAGGGGAGGGGUGCAUAUCUCCAGGCCAACCAGGGAGGGUAGGACACUGGACAAUACCAAAUAAGGAACUGUAUGAGUGUAGAAUCUGGGGUGAGACACAAGAUGGAUCUAAUCUACCCAAUGACCAGAUGCGGACAGAUGAGAGCACCAAGAGACUGGGACAAGUCUGAGUGCCAGCGAUAGGCUGAGCAAAGUUUAAACCACGCUCAGCCUCUACUGUGAUAGGCCAACGCAUGGCUGUCAUAGUAUAAUAACUGUUGUUUGCGCACAUUCCAGAGUUCUCUGUUCUACCCUGCGCAGUGAUACAGCGAACCCAUAUAUACGAAAAUUGCAUUUGCCAUUUAUUGUUUGCGUUAAUUAAACAUAAUUAAAGAAAGUUA